ACACUACUACUACACAGAGACCAAGAUAGAACAGGAGAAGGUGAGGACACUACUACUACACAGAGACCAAGAUAGAACAGGAGAAGGUGAGGACACUACUACACAGAGACCAAGAUAGAACAGGAGAAGGUGAGGACACUACUACACACAGAGACCAAGAUAGAACAGGAGAAGGUGAGGACACUACUACUACACAGAGACCAAGAUAGAACAGGAGAAGGUGAGGACACUACUACUACACAGAGACCAAGAUAGAACAGGAGAAGGUGAGGACACUACUACUACACAGAGACCAAGAUAGAACAGGAGAAGGUGAGGACACUACUACUACUACACAGAGACCAAGAUAGAACAGGAGAAGGUGAGGACACUACUACACACAGAACAGGAGAAGGUGAGGACACUACUACUACUACACAGAGACCAAGAUAGAACAGGAGAAGGUGAGGACACUACUACUACUACACAGAGACCAAGAUAGAACAGGAGAAGGUGAGGACACUACUACUACACAGAGACCAAGAUAGAACAGGAGAAGGUGAGGACACUACUACUACACAGAGACCAAGAUAGAACAGGAGAAGGUGAGGACACUACUACUACACAGAGACCAAGAUAGAACAGGAGAAGGUGAGGACACUACUAUACAGAGACCAAGAUAGAACAGGAGAAGGUGAGGACACUACUAUACAGAGACCAAGAUAGAACAGGAGAAGGUGAGGACACUACUACACAGAGACCAAGAUAGAACAGGAGAAGGUGAGGACACUACUACACAGAGACCAAGAUAGAACAGGAGAAGGUGAGGACACUACUAUACACAGAGACCAAGAUAGAACAGGAGAAGGUGAGGACACUACUACACAGAGACCAA
Long non-coding RNA from Oncorhynchus keta (chum salmon), 874 nucleotides. RefSeq lists it as uncharacterized. NCBI's taxonomy places the organism in Eukaryota, Metazoa, Chordata, Actinopteri, Salmoniformes, Salmonidae. The transcript is spliced from 4 exons. The record is from RefSeq and is a predicted model, not a curated record.